GGAGAGGUGGCCGAGUGGCUAAAGGCGGCGGUUUGCUAAACCGUUAUAUAAUUAAAUUAUAUCGAGGGUUCGAAUCCCUCUCUCUCCG
RNAcentral lists this transfer RNA (88 nucleotides) under Wolbachia endosymbiont of Dipetalonema caudispina. RNAcentral describes it as "tRNA-Ser". It matches the Rfam family "tRNA". From Rfam's summary of the family: Transfer RNA (tRNA) molecules are approximately 80 nucleotides in length. The record is from RNAcentral. Lineage: Bacteria; Pseudomonadati; Pseudomonadota; Alphaproteobacteria; Rickettsiales; Anaplasmataceae.